RNAcentral lists this ribosomal RNA (2922 nucleotides) under Escherichia coli. RNAcentral's name for it is "bacterial LSU rRNA". It matches the Rfam family "Bacterial large subunit ribosomal RNA". Lineage: Bacteria; Pseudomonadati; Pseudomonadota; Gammaproteobacteria; Enterobacterales; Enterobacteriaceae. The record is from RNAcentral.
GGGUUGUGAGGUUAAGCGACUAAGCGUACACGGUGGAUGCCCUGGCAGUCAGAGGCGAUGAAGGACGUGCUAAUCUGCGAUAAGCGUCGGUAAGGUGAUAUGAACCGUUAUAACCGGCGAUUUCCGAAUGGGGAAACCCAGUGUGAUUCGUCACACUAUCAUUAACUGAAUCCAUAGGUUAAUGAGGCGAACCGGGGGAACUGAAACAUCUAAGUACCCCGAGGAAAAGAAAUCAACCGAGAUUCCCCCAGUAGCGGCGAGCGAACGGGGAGGAGCCCAGAGCCUGAAUCAGUAUGUGUGUUAGUGGAAGCGUCUGGAAAGGCGCGCGAUACAGGGUGACAGCCCCGUACACAAAAAUGCACAUGCUGUGAGCUCGAUGAGUAGGGCGGGACACGUGGUAUCCUGUCUGAAUAUGGGGGGACCAUCCUCCAAGGCUAAAUACUCCUGACUGACCGAUAGUGAACCAGUACCGUGAGGGAAAGGCGAAAAGAACCCCGGCGAGGGGAGUGAAAAAGAACCUGAAACCGUGUACGUACAAGCAGUGGGAGCACGCUUAGGCGUGUGACUGCGUACCUUUUGUAUAAUGGGUCAGCGACUUAUAUUCUGUAGCAAGGUUAACCGAAUAGGGGAGCCGAAGGGAAACCGAGUCUUAACUGGGCGUUAAGUUGCAGGGUAUAGACCCGAAACCCGGUGAUCUAGCCAUGGGCAGGUUGAAGGUUGGGUAACACUAACUGGAGGACCGAACCGACUAAUGUUGAAAAAUUAGCGGAUGACUUGUGGCUGGGGGUGAAAGGCCAAUCAAACCGGGAGAUAGCUGGUUCUCCCCGAAAGCUAUUUAGGUAGCGCCUCGUGAAUUCAUCUCCGGGGGUAGAGCACUGUUUCGGCAAGGGGGUCAUCCCGACUUACCAACCCGAUGCAAACUGCGAAUACCGGAGAAUGUUAUCACGGGAGACACACGGCGGGUGCUAACGUCCGUCGUGAAGAGGGAAACAACCCAGACCGCCAGCUAAGGUCCCAAAGUCAUGGUUAAGUGGGAAACGAUGUGGGAAGGCCCAGACAGCCAGGAUGUUGGCUUAGAAGCAGCCAUCAUUUAAAGAAAGCGUAAUAGCUCACUGGUCGAGUCGGCCUGCGCGGAAGAUGUAACGGGGCUAAACCAUGCACCGAAGCUGCGGCAGCGACGCUGAUGCGUUGUUGGGUAGGGGAGCGUUCUGUAAGCCUGUGAAGGUGUGCUGUGAGGCAUGCUGGAGGUAUCAGAAGUGCGAAUGCUGACAUAAGUAACGAUAAAGCGGGUGAAAAGCCCGCUCGCCGGAAGACCAAGGGUUCCUGUCCAACGUUAAUCGGGGCAGGGUGAGUCGACCCCUAAGGCGAGGCCGAAAGGCGUAGUCGAUGGGAAACAGGUUAAUAUUCCUGUACUUGGUGUUACUGCGAAGGGGGGACGGAGAAGGCUAUGUUGGCCGGGCGACGGUUGUCCCGGUUUAAGCGUGUAGGCUGGUUUUCCAGGCAAAUCCGGAAAACUAAGGCUGAGGCGUGAUGACGAGGCACUACGGUGCUGAAGCAACAAAUGCCCUGCUUCCAGGAAAAGCCUCUAAGCAUCAGGUAACAUCAAAUCGUACCCCAAACCGACACAGGUGGUCAGGUAGAGAAUACCAAGGCGCUUGAGAGAACUCGGGUGAAGGAACUAGGCAAAAUGGUGCCGUAACUUCGGGAGAAGGCACGCUGAUAUGUAGGUGAAGUGACUCGAUGGAGCUGAAAUCAGUCGAAGAUACCAGCUGGCUGCAACUGUUUAUUAAAAACACAGCACUGUGCAAACACGAAAGUGGACGUAUACGGUGUGACGCCUGCCCGGUGCCGGAAGGUUAAUUGAUGGGGUUAGCGCAAGCGAAGCUCUUGAUCGAAGCCCCGGUAAACGGCGGCCGUAACUAUAACGGUCCUAAGGUAGCGAAAUUCCUUGUCGGGUAAGUUCCGACCUGCACGAAUGGCGUAAUGAUGGCCAGGCUGUCUCCACCCGAGACUCAGUGAAAUUGAACUCGCUGUGAAGAUGCAGUGUACCCGCGGCAAGACGGAAAGACCCCGUGAACCUUUACUAUAGCUUGACACUGAACAUUGAGCCUUGAUGUGUAGGAUAGGUGGGAGGCUUUGAAGUGUGGACGCCAGUCUGCAUGGAGCCGACCUUGAAAUACCACCCUUUAAUGUUUGAUGUUCUAACGUUGACCCGUAAUCCGGGUUGCGGACAGUGUCUGGUGGGUAGUUUGACUGGGGCGGUCUCCUCCUAAAGAGUAACGGAGGAGCACGAAGGUUGGCUAAUCCUGGUCGGACAUCAGGAGGUUAGUGCAAUGGCAUAAGCCAGCUUGACUGCGAGCGUGACGGCGCGAGCAGGUGCGAAAGCAGGUCAUAGUGAUCCGGUGGUUCUGAAUGGAAGGGCCAUCGCUCAACGGAUAAAAGGUACUCCGGGGAUAACAGGCUGAUACCGCCCAAGAGUUCAUAUCGACGGCGGUGUUUGGCACCUCGAUGUCGGCUCAUCACAUCCUGGGGCUGAAGUAGGUCCCAAGGGUAUGGCUGUUCGCCAUUUAAAGUGGUACGCGAGCUGGGUUUAGAACGUCGUGAGACAGUUCGGUCCCUAUCUGCCGUGGGCGCUGGAGAACUGAGGGGGGCUGCUCCUAGUACGAGAGGACCGGAGUGGACGCAUCACUGGUGUUCGGGUUGUCAUGCCAAUGGCACUGCCCGGUAGCUAAAUGCGGAAGAGAUAAGUGCUGAAAGCAUCUAAGCACGAAACUUGCCCCGAGAUGAGUUCUCCCUGACUCCUUGAGAGUCCUGAAGGAACGUUGAAGACGACGACGUUGAUAGGCCGGGUGUGUAAGCGCAGCGAUGCGUUGAGCUAACCGGUACUAAUGAACCGUGAGGCUUAACCUUACAACGCCGAAG